RNAcentral lists this long non-coding RNA (332 nucleotides) under Scleropages formosus (Asian bonytongue). RNAcentral's name for it is "lncRNA (ENSSFOG00015028339.1)". Lineage: Eukaryota; Metazoa; Chordata; Actinopteri; Osteoglossiformes; Osteoglossidae. The record is from RNAcentral.
AGCUGGCUUCUUGCGCUUAGGGAGUGUUUCCCAUUUAAACAAACACUACCGAAGAUGGCGGAGAGUUAAUACUAAAGAGAGAGAGAGAGCGAGAGAGAGUGUGUGUGUAUGAGAGCGAAGAAAAAAAAAAAAAAAAAAGAAAAGGUGGUCUGCUUAAAGGAAUACGUUUAAGGUGCUGGGCGGAACCGGACCGAGGCGUUGACCUGACCAGACCCCUGCUGAGAAAGCGCUUACACUGGCAUCCUCCUUCUGCCCAAGCAUACUGGAACAGGGAUCCCUGGUUCUACGCAAAAGAGAAGACCGUGCGAAAACUCAGGCGCUGUUAGCCGCAU